RNAcentral lists this transfer RNA (82 nucleotides) under Penaeus chinensis. RNAcentral describes it as "tRNA-Ser". It matches the Rfam family "tRNA". From Rfam's summary of the family: Transfer RNA (tRNA) molecules are approximately 80 nucleotides in length. Their secondary structure includes four short double-helical elements and three loops (D, anti-codon, and T loops). Lineage: Eukaryota; Metazoa; Arthropoda; Malacostraca; Decapoda; Penaeidae. The record is from RNAcentral.
GCAGUGAUGGCCGAGUGGUUAAGGCGUCUGACUAGAUAUCAGAUGGGAUCUUCCCGCGUAGGUUCGAAUCCUACUCACUGCG